This 464-nucleotide ribosomal RNA is filed under the name uncultured bacterium. Its description in RNAcentral is "partial 16S ribosomal RNA". It matches the Rfam family "Bacterial small subunit ribosomal RNA", at positions 28 to 507 of the family's 1533-position model. The record is from RNAcentral.
GAUGAACGCUGGCGGCGUGCUUAACACAUGCAAGUCGAACGGAAAGGCCAAGCUUGCUUGGGUACUCGAGUGGCGAACGGGUGAGUAACACGUGGGUGAUCUGCCCUGCACUUCGGGAUAAGCCUGGGAAACUGGGUCUAAUACCGGAUAGGACCACAUUUUGGAUGGUGUGGUGGAAAGUUUUUCGGUGUGGGAUGAGCUCGCGGCCUAUCAGCUUGUUGGUGGGGUAAUGGCCUACCAAGGCGUCGACGGGUAGCCGGCCUGAGAGGGUGUACGGCCACAUUGGGACUGAGAUACGGCCCAGACUCCUACGGGAGGCAGCAGUGGGGAAUAUUGCACAAUGGGCGCAAGCCUGAUGCAGCGACGCCGCGUGGGGGAUGACGGCCUUCGGGUUGUAAACUCCUUUCGCUAGGGACGAAGCGCAAGUGACGGUACCUGGAGAAGAAGCACCGGCUAACUACGUG